AAUGAGCAACUCCGCUGGGUUUUACAUGUGUCCUUGAGCAAGACCGAGGAGAGGUUCUUAAGGUAGUAGAAGAGCCCACUAGCUGAUAGAAUCGCCGAGGGGCUGGCGGAUGAAUCCAGGGCGAGUAGAGUAGCCCAAUGGGCAGCGGAGUAACAGCCCCAGGUGGGGAGUAGCAGCUCUUGGGGCUUGUCGCCUCCCCUUCCAGGGAAUCUCCACCUUUCUUCAUUCCAGCCCGAAACCCUGGAAAUGGGUGGGGCCAGACCCAGGUGGAGGCGUGGCUUGGGAACUGGGGGACCACCGAGAGGAGCUUGGGCAGGUUUGGGGGAUUUCCCGGGACUGACCGCGCGCCACCCCCAUCCCCAUUGUCCCACUUGUCGUCAGUUGUCCCUGGAGUAGAGGUCUCGCCGCCCUUCUGGAAUGCGAGCAGCGGGGCGGGAGGACGACCUCCGCAGGUAACGGACCAGGCCCAACAGUUCCGAACAAGAGGAGUCCGGAAUCAUCCGCCAGCGCACCACGCUGCGGCCCAGAACGGAGCAUCGGGGAGUCUUAGGGCCCGCCAUUGACCCGAACCGACACGCAAGACGGUCCGUCAUUUAUGCUGGACGAAUGAGGAAGCCACGUUUUGUGGUGAACUAGUGCUACCUAGUGAGGAGUCCAAGAUUCCAGAAGAGCAGAGGCCUGUUUCUGCCCCCACGGCCCACCUCCAGCCCUGCUUGAUAUCAGAAAAAUCAUUGACGAUGGCAGAAACUAUAACCCCCCCCCCCACCUUGACAAUACAAAUGGAUUGCUCAGAGACUUGCCAGGAGACAUUUUUAAAACUUUGGCAGAAUAAUCAAUGAGUGAGCAAGGAAGCUGUGGUCUUCAAACCGAAUUGAUUUCAACGAUGAAUGAAUAAAGAUGGCGGCUCAGCUAGUGCAUUCUCUAAUG
This is a long non-coding RNA of Monodelphis domestica (gray short-tailed opossum), 927 nucleotides long. RefSeq lists it as uncharacterized. The record is from RefSeq and is a predicted model, not a curated record. Lineage: Eukaryota; Metazoa; Chordata; Mammalia; Didelphimorphia; Didelphidae.